GAAGAAAAGCUUGCUUUUCAGGCGUCAAGCGGCGGANGGGUGAGUAACGCGUAGGAAUCUGCCUAGUAGUGGGGGACAACCUGUGGAAACGCAGGCUAAUACCGCAUAAUCCCUGAGGGGGAAAGGAGGGGAUCUUCGGACCUUUCGCUAUUAGAUGAGCCUGCGUGAGAUUAGCUAGUUGGUGAGGUAAAGGCUCACCAAGGCGACGAUCUCUAGCUGGUCUGAGAGGAUGAUCAGCCACACUGGGACUGAGACACGGCCCAGACUCCUACGGGAGGCAGCAGUGGGGAAUAUUGGACAAUGGGCGCAAGCCUGAUCCAGCCAUACCGCGUGUGUGAAGAAGGCCUUAGGGUUGUAAAGCACUUUCAGAAGGGAGGAAAGGUUGAUGUUUAAUACGCAUUAGCUGUGACGUUACCUUCANAAGAAGCACCGGCUAACUCUGUGCCAGCAGCCGCGGNA
Molecule: ribosomal RNA, 459 nt
Filed under: uncultured Gammaproteobacteria bacterium
Lineage: Bacteria; Pseudomonadati; Pseudomonadota; Gammaproteobacteria
Description: bacterial SSU rRNA
Rfam family: Bacterial small subunit ribosomal RNA
Source: RNAcentral